Molecule: ribosomal RNA, 491 nt
Filed under: uncultured bacterium
Lineage: Bacteria
Description: partial 16S ribosomal RNA
Rfam family: Bacterial small subunit ribosomal RNA
Source: RNAcentral
AGUGAACGCUGGCGGUAGGCCUAACACAUGCAAGUCGAACGGCAGCACAGUAAGAGCCUGCUCUUACGGGUGGCGAGUGGCGGACGGGUGAGGAAUACAUCGGAAUCUACUUUUUCGUGGGGGAUAACGUAGGGAAACUUACGCUAAUACCGCAUACGACCUACGGGUGAAAGCAGGGGAUCUUCGGACCUUGCGCGAUUGAAUGAGCCGAUGUCGGAUUAGCUAGUUGGCGGGGUAAAGGCCCACCAAGGCGACGAUCCGUAGCUGGUCUGAGAGGAUGAUCAGCCAAACUGGAACUGAGCCACGGUCCAGACUCCUACGGGAGGCAGCAGUGGGGAAUUUUGGAAAAUGGGCGCAAGCCUGAUCCAGCCAUACCGCGUGGGUGAAGAAGGCCUUCGGGUUGUAAAGCCCUUUUGUUGGGAAAAAAAAGCAGCAGGUUAAUACCCCGCUGUUCUGACGGUACCCAAAGAAUAAGCACCGGCUAACUUCGU